RNAcentral lists this ribosomal RNA (584 nucleotides) under uncultured bacterium. RNAcentral's name for it is "bacterial SSU rRNA". It matches the Rfam family "Bacterial small subunit ribosomal RNA", at positions 341 to 916 of the family's 1533-position model. The record is from RNAcentral.
ACGGGAGGCAGCAGUGGGGAAUUUUGGACAAUGGGCGCAAGCCUGAUCCAGCCAUGCCGCGUGAGUGAAGAAGGCCUUCGGGUUGUAAAGCUCUUUCAGACGGAAAGAAAACUUCUGGGUUAAUACCCUGGGAGGAUGACGGUACCGUAAGAAGAAGCACCGGCUAACUACGUGCCAGCAGCCGCGGUAAUACGUAGGGUGCGAGCGUUAAUCGGAAUUACUGGGCGUAAAGCGUGCGCAGGCGGUGAUGUAAGACAGAUGUGAAAUCCCCGGGCUCAACCUGGGAACUGCGUUUGUGACUGCAUCACUCGAGUACGGCAGAGGGAGGUGGAAUUCCGCGUGUAGCAGUGAAAUGCGUAGAGAUGCGGAGGAACACCGAUGGCGAAGGCAGCCUCCUGGGCCAGUACUGACGCUCAUGCACGAAAGCGUGGGGAGCAAACAGGAUUAGAUACCCUGGUAGUCCACGCCCUAAACGAUGUCAACUAGUUGUUCGGUGAGGAGACUCAUUGAGUAACGCAGCUAACGCGUGAAGUUGACCGCCUGGGGAGUACGGCCGCAAGGUUAAAACUCAAAGGAAUUGACGG